UGAGUAACCUGCCCCAGACUCUGGGAUAAGCACUGGAAACGGUGUCUAAUACCGGAUAUGAGCUUCAGCCGCAUGGCUAGGAGUUGGAAAGAAUUUCGGUUUGGGAUGGACUCGCGGCCUAUCAGCUUGUUGGUGAGGUAAUGGCUCACCAAGGCGACGACGGGUAGCCGGCCUGAGAGGGUGACCCGGCCACACUGGGACUGAGACACGGCCCAGACUCCUACGGGAGNAG
This 232-nucleotide ribosomal RNA is filed under the name uncultured bacterium. Its description in RNAcentral is "partial 16S ribosomal RNA". It matches the Rfam family "Bacterial small subunit ribosomal RNA", at positions 118 to 347 of the family's 1533-position model. The record is from RNAcentral.